CAGACGGGAUCACUAACGACUCCACCAGAGGGCAGUCAUGACAUCACCACAUUUCGUCAUCAUGCAGGUGGUCGGGCAGCGCAACAUAAUCCCCCCUGAGAGGUGACCAGAAGUGUGACGGCGUCACGAGGACGCGGAAGGUUCUAGAAGCGGGUGUCGCUCACGUCAACAUCAGCUGCUGCACCACGCUGCUCAGCAUGUGGACCUACAGCAGGUGGUGAAGGUCAAGUGGACGAUUUGAAAAGUGUGAAAAGCCGAAGCGGGCACGAAAACGCUGAGCCUGCAAUGAGGCCGUCUUCUUGGUGACGCUCGCCGCCGCUAACAAGCCAGAGUGCUGACCUUUGCUGCAUCCCGUCCUUCCUCCCCCAGAGAGCGGCGCUCUCAGGUCUGACACAAUAUUCCUUUUUACGGCGCGCUGACUCAAUCUCCGCUGGGACCGCACGCUCCCAUUUUUGUUUACAGCUGCUUUCUCCUCUCCUCGUGCUGCUUGUCAUGUCCAGCAGGGCGGCGACAUUUCUAACUUUGUGUUCAAUCUUCUACUAUUUGUAACUUUUUGUCUGCAAUAAGCGCUAUUAUGCAUUUACACACUUUUUACAUUCACUUCAUGAAAUACUUUUUAUUUUAAAUAGGUUUUUUAGGCAUAUUCUACAUUUUUGGGGUCCUAAAUUAAAAAGCAUUUUAAAGAAGAAAAUGGAAAAAUACACAAACAUGUUACUAAACUUUCUACAUAUACAGUCGUCCCUCACCACAUUACGCAGAUUCACCUCAUUGCAAAUAAAAAAAAAAAACUUUUAAAAAUGUUUUUAUUUUAAGCAUAUUCGCCAUUUUUUUCAUCCUAAAUUAAGUCUUUUCAAGCAAAAAAAUGGCAAAAAAAAGUAACAAAUUACUAAACUUUCUACAUAAAUA
This is a long non-coding RNA of Nerophis ophidion (straightnose pipefish), 906 nucleotides long. RefSeq lists it as uncharacterized. The record is from RefSeq and is a predicted model, not a curated record. The transcript is spliced from 3 exons. Lineage: Eukaryota; Metazoa; Chordata; Actinopteri; Syngnathiformes; Syngnathidae.